RNAcentral lists this ribosomal RNA (253 nucleotides) under uncultured bacterium. RNAcentral's name for it is "partial 16S ribosomal RNA". It matches the Rfam family "Bacterial small subunit ribosomal RNA", at positions 524 to 776 of the family's 1533-position model. The record is from RNAcentral.
UACGUAGGGGGCAAGCGUUGUCCGGAUUUAUUGGGCGUAAAGAGCGUGUAGGCGGCUUGGUAGGUCCGCUGUGAAAACUCGAGGCUCAACCUCGAGAUGUCGGCGGAAACCACUUGGCUAGAGUCCGGAAGAGGAGAGUGGAAUUCCUGGUGUAGCGGUGAAAUGCGCAGAUAUCAGGAGGAACACCGGUGGCGAAGGCGGAUCUCUGGGCCUUACCUGACGCUGAGGCGCGAAAGCUAGGGGAGCGAACAGG